RNAcentral lists this long non-coding RNA (1273 nucleotides) under Anser brachyrhynchus (Pink-footed goose). RNAcentral's name for it is "lncRNA (ENSABRG00000015917.1)". Lineage: Eukaryota; Metazoa; Chordata; Aves; Anseriformes; Anatidae. The record is from RNAcentral.
UUUUGAUUCUUUUGGCUGCCUGUAGCCACUCAAGCAAGCCUUGUAGGAAGAAAAGUCAACUUCAAGUUGUCCAGUUACUAGAAGCAGGUUCCUACCUGAGCACUCCAGGAUGCUGGAGAUCAGACAAAUUCAGUCUAUAAAUGCAAUUCAAUUCUUCAGAGCCGUAACAGACCUGUACCUGCAACUUCACAUGUGCUGCUGACCAAUGGUAGCAUAAGGCCCUUUCCCCACGGAGCUAAUGGAUAACCCCAUGGACCAGGAGCUGCGGGCUAGAGCGAGACCUCCAAGUUGUGACACGCUGCUAACUUGUGGCAUGUGGGACACUACAGAGCAGCAGAGAAGGCCAGACAACUGGAGUUAUGCACACCUAGCAGGAAGACAGUCAAGAAUACUGCAGGUGUCUGCAAGCUACAUAUGGCAUUUUUGGUGGCUGCCCUUGGAUCUCAUGCAAGCCCAGAUACCCAAGGCUGCAAGUUACCAAGCUUCUGUACCAGGGUGGACCUGUGAGUGGAUUCAGUGAUAUGUCAGCUCUGCCAAGAGCAAACAGCCUGUAGAAGGUCUAAAGGUCCAGCAACCUCUGUGUCCCGCUCCCAACCACCUGCAUCAUGUCUCUGGAUAUUUUGCAAGCUGGGUGUGCACGCCUACCGGUGGGCUGAUGCUCCCGAUGUGUUCCUAUGCAGAACCACGUGUCUGUACUUGAAUUCUGAAAAGUCUGGCCUUCAGACAGUUUAGACACAGCUAUUGAUAAAGUUGAUAUUGGAUGGUAUGGAAUGCACAGGUAUAUCCACCUCCUGUUGUUAUUUCAUAAGGAUUGUGUUCUGCUAACCUCAUAAGGGGCUGUGACUGUAGGCUCAGAUCCACAAGAGGUGUUGUACACGUUUGAUGUUAACCUGGAGAGGACUAGUUCUUCACUUCCACAAGGGUCAAGACAUCAGUAAACUCACAUGAGGUGUGGUGAGUAUCUGUGCAGCGUGGAGGUUCUUUGACCCUCUCAGCAAAUAGUCUCACCUGGAAUAAGGUGUUAAACUGCAUGGGUAAAGCUGUGGAAAUGUUGAUAUGUUAUUUGACAUUGAUACUGCAUAUGUUGCAGUGUUCAGACAGACAUAAGGGAAUGGGGAACACUUUUACUUCAGGAUACAUCAAAUGUGUAUGUUUUGAAGAAGUAGAAGUAAUACUAACAUUUUGUGAUUGAAUGGAGUCUUUAUGUAUUUAAAAAUACAAAUGAAUGUCAAGUGGCAUGAUCAGCCUGAAAUCUGGUCAGUAUAAGUAUGUG